Molecule: ribosomal RNA, 243 nt
Filed under: uncultured bacterium
Lineage: Bacteria
Description: partial 16S ribosomal RNA
Rfam family: Bacterial small subunit ribosomal RNA
Source: RNAcentral
UAGGGGGCAAGCGUUAUCCGGAUUUACUGGGUGUAAAGGGAGCGUAGACGGCAUGGCAAGUCUGAAGUGAAAGCCCGGGGCCCAACCCCCGGACUGCUCUGGAAACUAUGAGACUGGAGUGCAGGAGAGGUGAGCGGAAUUCCUAGUGUAGCGGUGAAAUGCGUAGAUAUUAGGAGGAACACCAGUGGCGAAGGCGGCUCACUGGACUGUAACUGACGUUGAGGCUCGAAAGCGUGGGGAGCA